This 254-nucleotide ribosomal RNA is filed under the name uncultured bacterium. Its description in RNAcentral is "partial 16S ribosomal RNA". It matches the Rfam family "Bacterial small subunit ribosomal RNA", at positions 524 to 776 of the family's 1533-position model. The record is from RNAcentral.
UACGUAGGUGGCAAGCGUUGUUCGGAUUUACUGGGCGUAAAGGGCGCGUAGGCGGUCGUGACAAGUCACUUGUGAAAUCUCCGGGCUUAACUCGGAACGGUCAAGUGAUACUGUCGGACUAGAGUACAGAAGGGGCAACUGGAAUUCUCGGUGUAGCGGUGAAAUGCGUAGAUAUCGAGAGGAACACCUGCGGCGAAGGCGGGUUGCUGGGCUGAUACUGACGCUGAGGCGCGAAAGCCAGGGGAGCGAACGGG